This 1482-nucleotide long non-coding RNA is filed under the name Homo sapiens (human). RNAcentral's name for it is "HSALNT0381675". Lineage: Eukaryota; Metazoa; Chordata; Mammalia; Primates; Hominidae. The record is from RNAcentral.
GGAGGACUCACUCAAGAGCACCUCCACCUUCCGUGCGGCUGAGGCUGCAGCUGCUACUGCUGCAGCUCUGAAGAGCCGAUGAAACGCUUUUCACCUUUUGUCAAAUUGCUAGGAAGUAGGAGGCUGAGAGAGAUGAGAAGCUUCAGAUUACAGAAAAGGACAAAAAGAAGUCUGGCCUUCUUGGAUAUUUAGAUCUGACUCAGAGCUUUCCAGUGAAGAGGCCCUUGGAAAAGGAAGGCUGGAGAAGCAGCAGAUUGCUGAAGGCGCGGCUGAAGUGCACCUCCAGGAACCCCUUCCUGAGUUCCCCAUCACGUCCCCUCCAUCGAGCACCUCUCUCCUCACCUGGAAACUGCAAUAUUGCUGACCUACACACUCCUGCAGGAAGAGUCGGGGACUCACUGCCUCUGUAUCACUCUCAGGAGGCACCACAAUCUUUUGCCCACGACAGACCCUCAAAAAGGAGGAGUCCAUUGAAUACAAUGGUUCCCUUUAAAAAUAGUUAUUUAUUUUUCUCCCUCCUUUGCUCAAAUUCCUUGUGCUUAGUAACAGACAUAACUGCCCACCACAAAACCCCAGUGUUCAGUAUUUCACAAGUUUGAUUCUGUCAGCCCCCCGGGGGGAGGAAAAGUGAGGAAUAAGCUGUGUGGAGGGACCUGGGACUGGGGGAAUGAUAGUGUCUACCUCUUCUCUCCCCACCUGCCCCGAUGUCACAGGGUCAGCAGAAGGGAGGGUCUUGGGAACAAUGCUCUGGAAGCCAUCCGAAAGAGUUCAGUCCCUGCUAGGCUACUCUGGGCCACUCCUCUAAAGGGCCGAAUGAAAGAAGCCAGUGUUCCAGGGUCUAAGGCAAACUAGGAGCUGGAUCUAUCUGCUCAAAACUAAACCCUCCCUCUUGCCCAUGCUCUUGCCCUCUCCCUCACUCCCUGUGUUAAGCUGAAGUCCUAUGGAGACAAGCCAGAAGGGGACUCACGGAAGGAUGGGGCACAGGGUCCUGUGCUGUACCCCACUUCUUGAUACACUUGCUCUAAGGCAUCUGCCAGACAUCCCACCCCUAAUGACCAGACCUACAAAUAAUCCCAUACCCCAUGACGGUGCCCCACCUGGCAUCCCAAAGUUCUCACAGAGAACCAGCAGCCCUGCAGGAGACGGCUCUCAGGUCCCAUUCAUCCAAGCCCCAACCAGACCCCUCCAAUGGGUCUGGAAGCAAAAGCACUGGGCAUUAAAAUGUCAGGGCCUGGCCUCCCUGGUGUGUGGGGCAGCAGUUGAAGCCUAUUCUUGGGGUCCCGAAGUGCCCCCUCACCUCUUCCUUCCCUUUCUGCCUCCUGCCCACACAAACAUUUGCUGGAGGACUGCUCUAUAAACUGACAUCAGUGGAAAAGAAACAUCCGGAGUACAAUCAGAGUUGAGUCAUUAAACAUCACAGAAUCCCUUAGGGGAAGAAAAAGGCCAAAAUGAGCCACUAAAUGCUAGGGCUUCAAAACCCCA